UACAGAGGUCUCAAGCGUUGUUCGGAUCCAUUGGGCGUAAAGGGUGCGUAGGUGGCGGGGUAAGUCAGGUGUGAAAUCUCGGGGCUCAACCCCGAAACUGCACUUGAUACUGCCUUGCUCGAGUACUGGAGAGGAGAUUGGAAUUUACGGUGUAGCAGUGAAAUGCGUAGAUAUCGUAAGGAAGACCAGUGGCGAAGGCGAAUCUCUGGACAGUUACUGACACUGAGGCACGAAGGCCAGGGGAGCAAACGGG
This 253-nucleotide ribosomal RNA is filed under the name uncultured bacterium. RNAcentral describes it as "partial 16S ribosomal RNA". It matches the Rfam family "Bacterial small subunit ribosomal RNA", at positions 524 to 776 of the family's 1533-position model. The record is from RNAcentral.